RNAcentral lists this long non-coding RNA (1351 nucleotides) under Ursus maritimus (polar bear). RNAcentral describes it as "lncRNA (ENSUMAG00000024964.1)". Lineage: Eukaryota; Metazoa; Chordata; Mammalia; Carnivora; Ursidae. The record is from RNAcentral.
CCCGUCGCCUGGGCCAGUCCUCUGGCCACCAGAUCUAAGUCCAGCUUCCACCGGAGCCACCGAGGCGCCAGACCCUCCUCCCCUUCUGGUUCUGCCACCCUCGGACUCUGCCUUCCUUUCUGCCCUUUCCUCCCCGUCUCUCCGGUGACACCCCUGUCUGCAGGUGCCCAGGUCCAGACAGCUGUGCCAGACUGUGCGUCUGUCCCUCCGCAAGGACAUUCCUAUAACCACCACCACAGUCAACACACGAGCCUAUCCUCACACCCAAAGAGGUCCCUAGAGAUGGAGUUUUGGAAUAUAGAAUCACACCGUAUGUCGGAUUUUUCUCCGUCCCCCCACCAUCCCUGGUGACGCUUCUGAGACUCACUCACGCCUGUGCAUUCAUCUGUAGUGUAUUGCUUUACGUUUGUUUGAGCACAAAAUUCAACAGACUAAAUCUGAAAGAUGUUAUUGGGUUUAUUCACCAAGUCACAAACCGGGCAGCAUGCCCCCUAGCUGACAGAGAAGAGCCCUGUGGAGCUUCAUGAGAUGGAAGACCUCUCUGUGCAGAAGUGCGCCGGAACCGCAAGUUACAGGGCAGGAAGUUGCAUUCCUUUAGGGGACGGCGGGUCCCAGGUCCGUCAGGCACAUCACCUCCCUGGUGCCCAGCCGGAAAUUCCAGAUUGACUGGCUCAAGGUUCCCUUGCCCCGUGAGCUGAGACUGUGCUUAAGUCUCGGAUGGUUUGGUGCUCAGAGACUCCGUGGGGGCUGUCGUCUUGUAUUUAACACACAGCUCAGUGGAGAUGCAGGUGUAGGAAGACCACAUGGGUGAACACACGCAUCCCGGUCUGUUCGGACGUCUGUUUCCGUCCUUUAGGGUAAAAACCCAGGAAGGGGACCACUGGGUCACGUGCUAAGACUAUGUUUAACUUUAUAAGAAACCGUCAAACAUCUUCCCAGACUGCUGCCCCUUCACACGCGGGAUCCCAGCUCCUUCCCCUGGGCGCCAGCGCUGAGCUCGGCCUGUCUCUGACUCGGCUGUCUGUCUGUCCGCACACGGUGUGGGGCAUCUGCUCGUGCUUUCAGUGAACGUUUGCCUACGGCUGGAGCCGCCCAGCACCCUGUCCUGAGCUCUGUGCCGGCUACGCUUUGAAGGGUCGAUUCGGACUUUGUGCCCAUGUAUCAUAGGGUUGAUUUCCUAUUAUUUAAUCGUAAGCACUAUUUUACAUACAGAAAUAUUUCCUCCUGGCUUUGGAUUUCAGUUUUAUUUCCUUAAAGCGUCUUUCGAAAAGCACAAGUUUUUAUUCUGAUGCAGUGUAAUCUAUGUUUUUCCCAUCACAGAUCAUGCUGUUUGUGUCCUAAGAAACCGUUA